UUCAGUAAGAAUUUAAUUUUGGUUCCGAUUGAACGUUUUUCAGUAGUUUAAGACAUGCAAAUCGUUGUUUCCAAAGUCCUUAUAAAUUAAUAUUUUUAAUAUUAAUGGGAUCAGGGGAUAAGGUGUAGAGGUGAGUAUGUUAAAUAAGAUACCCUGUAGUCUUCUUAGCUAGGAGAUAUAAAGUAAAGGAAAAUUUCUGCUAUAGGAUUCUAUUUAAUUUGAUUAGGUAGUUGAUAGGGUAACGGCCUACCAAGCCAACGAUCAAAAGUCAAGUUUUAAAGAACCUCUGGCCACAUUGGGGAUGAAAUCUCCCAAGUAGUAAUUACACUACCAGCAGUCGAGAAUAUUAGUCAAUGCUCGUAAGAGUGAACUAGCUAACUGAAAUCAUAGAAUUUCUUCAAAUUCAUGAUGUCGUAAGGGAAAAUAAUGAUAAUACCUUACUAUGAGUGUCGUCCAAAUCUGGUGCCAGAAGACUCGGUAAGACCAGAGACGCAAACGUUAAUCAUCAUAAACAGGCGUAAAGGGUUUGUAGGCAGCUUUUAUAAGAUAAUAAAAAUCUAAAUUGAAAGCUAGAAUCAAAAAGAGGUUAUAGUGUAUAACGCCUAGAGGAGGGCUGAUAUCCAUAGAUCCUAGGCAGAAUACUCAGGGCGAAGGCCACUCUCCACUAAUGAUUGACGCUGAGAAACGAAGGUUAGGGUAGGAAAUAGGAUUGGUUAGAUACCCCGGUACUCCUUUCUGUAAACGAUGAAUGGUAGUCAUUAGUUUUAAUAAAUAACUAGAGGCGAAGUUAACACAAUAACCAUUCCGCCUUGUGAGUACUACUGCAAAGUAGAAAACAAAAAAAUUAGUCGGUCUCGAAGCAAACGGAGUGAAGCAUGUUAUUUAAUACGAUAAUCCGCGUAAAACCUUACCAGAACUUGCAUACAAACUAUAAAAUUUCCUACCUGAAAAGGUAAAGAAAAUAUUAGGAGUGUUUAAAAUUUAAAUACUUAAGUACAGGUGUUGCAUGGCUGUCUUCAGUUCGUGUUGUUAAACAUUAGGUUAAUUCCACUAACGAACGAAAUCCCUGUUAUUAAUUUAUACUUAAUAACUAAUAAAUCUGAUAGAGAUUUAGCGGGGGCUAAGACAAGUCGUUAUGGCCCUCAUGUUCUGGGCUAUAGACGUGCCACAAAAACUUUUACAAAGUGAUGCGAUACUUCCCAAUAGAAGUGGAGCUAAUCAUUAAAAAAAGUUAUUUAUAUUAAAAAUAAGCCGGAUUGUCUCCUGUAAUUCGGAGGCAUGAAGAAGGAAUUCCGAGUAAUCGUUGAUAAGUAGCGCAACGGUGAAGCUAGUUUCGUGAUGAACUAACUGUCUGUCGCUGGGAAGAAGCUUUUAGUGGAGGAAACUGGAGUAAGAUUAUGUUUUUUCAUAGUAACUCAUUGCUUUAAGUAAAGUAUUUUUAGUAUUAUGAUAAACUUAUUGGAUUUAGUGAAUUCAUUAAGGUAACAUCUCAAAAGUCAUAGCAUGGUAGCUGUACUGGAAAGUGCAGCUGGAUAAUAAUUAAU
RNAcentral lists this ribosomal RNA (1544 nucleotides) under Ganoderma sichuanense. RNAcentral's name for it is "SSU rRNA". It matches the Rfam family "Bacterial small subunit ribosomal RNA". The record is from RNAcentral. Lineage: Eukaryota; Fungi; Basidiomycota; Agaricomycetes; Polyporales; Polyporaceae.